GAAAUGCGAUAAGUAAUGUGAAUUGCAGAAUUCAGUGAAUCAUCGAAUCUUUGAACGCCGCUUGCGCUCCUUGGUAUUCCUUGGAGCAUGCCUGUUUGAGUAUCAUGAAAUCUUCAAAGUAAAUCUUUUGUUAACUCAAUUGGUUUCUACUUUGGUAUUGGAGGUCUUUGCAGCUUCACACCUGCUCCUCUUUGUUCAUUAGCUGGAUCUCAGUGUUAUGCUUGGUUCCACUCGGCGUGAUAAGUUAUCUAUCGCUGAGGACACUGUAAAAGGUGGCCAAGGUAAAUGCAGAUGAACCGCUUCUAAUAGUCCAUUGACUUGGACAAUACUUUUAUGAUCUGAUCUCAAAUCAGGUAGGACUACCCGCUGAACUUAAGC
This 378-nucleotide unclassified non-coding RNA is filed under the name plant metagenome. RNAcentral describes it as "partial contains 5.8S ribosomal RNA, internal transcribed spacer 2, and large subunit ribosomal RNA". The stretch from base 1 to 105 matches the Rfam family "5.8S ribosomal RNA", at positions 50 to 154 of the family's 154-position model. The record is from RNAcentral.